This 600-nucleotide ribosomal RNA is filed under the name uncultured bacterium. Its description in RNAcentral is "bacterial SSU rRNA". It matches the Rfam family "Bacterial small subunit ribosomal RNA", at positions 97 to 728 of the family's 1533-position model. The record is from RNAcentral.
GGGGGACGGGGGAGUAACGGGUGAGAAUCUGCCUACAGGACGGGGACAAAAGUUGGAAACGACUGCUAAUACCAGAUUUGCCGAGAGGUGAAAAAUUAUUGGCCUGUAGAUGAGCUCGGGUCUGAUUAGAUAGUUGGGGGGGUAAGGGCCUACCAAGCCGACGAUCAGUAGCUGGUCUGAGGGGAAGAUCAGCCACACUGGGACUGAGACACGGCCCAGACUCCUACGGGAAGGCAGCAGUGGGGAAUUUUCCGCACAUGGGCGCAAGCCUGACGGAGCAACGCCGCGUGGGGGGGGAAGGUUUUUGGACUGUAAACCCCUUUAUUCAGGGAAGAAGAAAGUGACCGUACCUGAGGAAUAAGCCACGGCUAAUUCCGUGCCAGCAGCCGCGGUAAUACGGGAGCGGCAAGCGUUUUCCGGAAUUAUUGGGCGUAAAGCGUCCGCAGGCGGUUAAUCACGUCUGUUGUCAAAGCGUGGGGCUCAACCUCAUACAGGCAAUGGAAACUGAUUGACUACAGUAUGGUAGGGGUAGCGGGAAUUCCAGGUGUAGCCGUGAAAUGCGUAGAUAUCUGGAAGAACACCAGCCGCGAAAGCGCGCUA